GUAGGUGAACCUGCGGAAGGAUCAUUAAAAAAAUUAUAGUUGUCCAUUAAGUGACCAACUCAUUGUGCAAUGUAACAUGUUCUUGGCAGUUUAGUGUUUUUUAAGGAUUUUUUUUCGAAAAUCUCACGUCUUAGACUUUAUAAUGAAGUCCAAGGAACUGCCGAUGGCUUAACGCCAAAAAUUCUAUAAACUCUAGUUUUAUUAAUUGUCUGAUUCUAUUAUUUAAUAAAUAAUAACAACUUUUGACAAC
RNAcentral lists this unclassified non-coding RNA (250 nucleotides) under plant metagenome. Its description in RNAcentral is "partial contains small subunit ribosomal RNA, internal transcribed spacer 1, and 5.8S ribosomal RNA". The record is from RNAcentral.